UUCUUUUUACAUACAUUUUUUUGGUGGUUUAAAGAUGUAAACGUCUUGACGGGUAAAUGGAAUGUUUUUAUUUGAACUUUUGGUAAAAGUUAAAAUCGUAUCAUUUAUUUAGAAACCGUAUCACCGUGAAAUAUUUGGAACUAGCUAUCCGAAGUUCGCAAAAAUGUUUCAAUUCAUUCUGAAUGUACAGUAUAUUAUUAAUGACAUAGACCAAUAUGGGAUCAAUAUAUACAAAUCGACAUUACCUACAGUUUAUGAAUAAUCGUUUGGUACUGGCAUUUAAAAAUGCAUAAAAUCUCGUGUCG
Cinara cedri is the source of this 305-nucleotide non-coding RNA. The record is from the annotation of a GenBank genome assembly. Lineage: Eukaryota; Metazoa; Arthropoda; Insecta; Hemiptera; Aphididae.